AGUCAUCGAGGAGAGGAACAUCGCACUCGGGAUGCGCAUCAAGAUAACUAACACGGCACUCUGAGACCAGCAUCUUGUCAGAGAGCUGAUGAAGAUGAUUAUGCUCCCCACCGAUUGGGAAGAAAGGAAGACCCACCCAAUCGACGAGAUUAUUACGGGCUGUUAUGCAUCGCUGUUGUCAGUAAGUCCAAGCACCCUUCCACUCGAUAUUUAUUUAUAUAUUGAUCCUUUUUUGAGUUUCUAACUUAGAAAAAUUUUGACUUCUUGCAGUUAGCACACGAUGCCACUAUUCUAUAUAAGGGAUCGAUCGGCUUCAGCUGCCUCGAUCAUUCACUAAAGAGCCAGGUCUAGAGCACGAAUGCUCAGGCCAAAAUUAUUGAUGAGCUUCUUCGAUCUAUAGAAGAGCAGAUGAAGAAGUAUCAAUAGGAGAUGGCUCCUUCUCGAGAUAGGAUCGCCGAGCUUGAAUCUUGGUUGAAGAAAAAGGAGGAGGAAGCCGAGAAACAGAAAGCAACAAUUUCCGACUUCGAAAAGAAAAUUGGGCUGGCCA
RNAcentral lists this long non-coding RNA (547 nucleotides) under Elaeis guineensis (African oil palm). Its description in RNAcentral is "long non-coding RNA (EGUI_LNC033327)". Lineage: Eukaryota; Viridiplantae; Streptophyta; Magnoliopsida; Arecales; Arecaceae. The record is from RNAcentral.